CUCUGUCUUUCUGGCUCAUCAAGUACUAGCGGACUCUCUCUGUGUACCGUAUCAGUGCCUGAACUGUAGUGCAUCUGGAAACUGCCAGCUGUGCUCCAACACCUCAGUAGCCAACAGUACCAGCUGCAUUGGUCAGUAGCAAAAUCUUUUUUUCCCAACAGAAAAAGAGCAAAUGAUUGAUGAUAUUUGACAGAUGACUGAUCAUUCUUUCUUCCUCCAUAGAUGCUCCCAAAAUCUGCAUCAUAGAUGCCGCUGUAAAGCUGAUUGCUGAUUCUUUCCAGGUUGAAGAACGAUCUGCACUGACUGUGGACUGUAAUCAUAGCCUGCCUCAAAACAUGAACACAAGUUUCAUGUGGCUAAUAAAUAACAAUGAGAUGAUGGGUGAAAUCAACAGUAGCCUGGUUGUGAAGAUCAAUGAGACAAUAAAACUGGCCUGCACGGUGUUCAGUCCAUGUGGAAAAUUCAGCUCUAACUCUCAAGAAAUAACUAUCAAAGAUGGAAGUGGGCUCAUUAUCCUGAUCUGUGGAGUAGGAGCUGUGGUGGUUAUUGUCAUUCUGGGUGUUGUCAUGAAAAUUAUAAUAAAAAGAAAUGAAGUCCAAAACGAGGCAAGGAAGCGUCAGAGACAAGCACGCAUGCAGAACAUCAGCAGCACCACCGAGGUCACAGGAUACUGGUGAAGAGAGAAAGAAAUGUAUUGUUCUAUACAGCGAAUGUUGAGAAGACAUUAGCCAAAAUUGAGUAAUAAGAAAUUGUAAAAUUGACCCUGCUAUUUGCUUGGCUGAGAGGCGUUUUAUGAGUGACAUUAUCAGCCGAUAAUGCACUGUAACCGAAGCUCUCCAUGUAUUACUCCACCACAUACAGAUAACCUAGCAACAAUGCAGCGCUUACAAACCAAGUGCAAUAUCAUUUGAUGUCACCAUUGGGAGAUGCUAGAUCCCAUAGGCACAAUGAAUAAGCGUCAUAUCUCUAAUAAGCAGCGCAGGAAAAGAUGCUGUCCC
This 998-nucleotide long non-coding RNA is filed under the name Astyanax mexicanus (Mexican tetra). RNAcentral's name for it is "lncRNA (ENSAMXG00005025403.1)". The record is from RNAcentral. Lineage: Eukaryota; Metazoa; Chordata; Actinopteri; Characiformes; Acestrorhamphidae.